Molecule: ribosomal RNA, 500 nt
Filed under: uncultured Glomeromycotina
Lineage: Eukaryota; Fungi; Glomeromycota
Description: partial small subunit ribosomal RNA
Rfam family: Eukaryotic small subunit ribosomal RNA
Source: RNAcentral
CCAAUAGCGUAUAUUAAAGUUGUUGCAGUUAAAAAGCUCGUAGUUGAAUUUCGGGGUCAGCAGGUUGGUCGUGCCAAUGGUAUGUACUGGUCUUGCUGAUCCCUUCCUCUUGAUGAGCCGUAAUGCCAUUAAUUUGGUGUUGCGGGAAAUCAGGACUGUUACUUUGAAAAAAUUAGAGUGUUUAAAGCAGGCAAGCGCUUGAAUAUAUUAGCAUGGAAUAAUGAAAUAGGACGUUCGAUCCUAUUUUGUUGGUUUCUAGGAUUGACGUAAUGAUUAAUAGGGAUAGUUGGGGGCAUUAGUAUUCAAUUGUCAGAGGUGAAAUUCUUGGAUUUAUUGAAGACUAACUACUGCGAAAGCAUUUGCCAAGGAUGUUUUCAUUAAUCAAGAACGAAAGUUAGGGGAUCGAAGACGAUCAGAUACCGUCGUAGUCUUAACCAUAAACUAUGCCGACUAGGGAUCGGAUGAUGUUAAUUUUUUAAUGACUCAUUCGGCGCCUUACG